This 1310-nucleotide long non-coding RNA is filed under the name Homo sapiens (human). RNAcentral's name for it is "HSALNT0401005". Lineage: Eukaryota; Metazoa; Chordata; Mammalia; Primates; Hominidae. The record is from RNAcentral.
CCGCGCCCCCAGCCGUAUUUCCGCGGGCGCUGAGCACUAGAGAGAGCGUCUUGUGGCUGCGGCCUGCCCCUCAGCCUCCUCCGCGCGGUUACCCCUGUACCCGCCGCCAUCCGUCCUGGCGCUCCGGAUGAGUCAAUGAGGGGCAGGGCCCGAGGAGUGGUCUUCCCAAGAACCCCUGGUGGCCUCCCAAGGCCGGUGCUGUGUACCUCCUCCCCGACAAAAGGGGAAACUGAGGCCCCGAGGGGAGUGGGAAGAGCCGGCUGGACGUCAGGCCCAGCCGCUGGUGCAGUGGUCCGUCCCCUCUGCCGGGGUGGGCCCCUCGGGUUUCGCGUGUCCUCGGGAAAGAGACUGGCGGGUGAGCCGCGCCCUCGGCCUUCGCUGGGCUAAGCCGACCCCAUGCAGACGUCAAACCCCCCUAGGCCUCGUGGGCUGUGCGGCUAUCCUGGAGACAGAUGACAGCUCUCCCUUGGAUGGCUUUGCUGGUUCCGCACCAGCCAGCGCCCCCAUUUUUCCUGCAGCACCCUGAUCUGCACUCCCUGAGGGGCUCCCACUGUCCGCGGUGUGAGGAUGUCCCUGGAAAUUGGUCUUCUGUGACUUUCUUGAUGGGGGCAGAUGAGAUCUUUGUACUGCAUUAAGUGGAUAGCGCUCAGGUCCUUUGGGCUUGGCGCUUUGGCAAUCUCCAGGCAGCUCACUUUGGCCUCUGUUCCUGGAUCCCCUUUGCUCUUUUCUGCGCCUGCAUUCAUAGUCCACUGUGUGCAGAGGCAUGGGAGUUGUCAUGUUGGGAACAUGCUAGACCUCAGUAUCCUUGAGGGAUGCUGCCUUGGGUCUGGAAACUGUUAGAGGAAACCCCAAGAGGUGCAGGCACUGAGCCUCUCAGGACAAUGACCUGGGGUCCCAGCUCCCCUGGAGGGGCCUCCUCAUGAUUGUUUGGGGGUUGAUCACAGACCAAGAGUGACGAGUGAUGUCACCCUGUGACUCAUGGCUGGACCUUCUUGCCCCUAUUGUCUCAGCACAACAUUAUUCGACUUUUCCCUCAGCGUGGGUGGGCAGAGGAAAAGCCCUGUGGCUCUGGGGACUUGGGAUCCAGAGUUGAAGACCCUUCAGCUGGCUCUGCCCUGCCAGUGCCACAGAGUGCCAUGGCCCAGGAAGACAGGUUUUCUUCCAUCUAGGCCAGGCCAUCCAGUGGCCAUCCUCCGUGUCCUCCCGCCUCCUCCUGGUGUGACUUCUGAAAACCAAGAAUUUGUUCCUGUUGACUUUUUCUGUGCUAUGGACCAUUGUCCUCUCACCCACUCAAUAAAUCUUGAAACAUG